Molecule: long non-coding RNA, 546 nt
Organism: Bombus huntii
Lineage: Eukaryota; Metazoa; Arthropoda; Insecta; Hymenoptera; Apidae
Exons: 2
Source: RefSeq, a predicted model, not a curated record
CCUAAACAGAUGAAAACAUAAUACCAUGAAGCCUUUAUCAGAAACAAUAACAUACCAGUUAUAUUUACUAAAAUAGGCGAUGGAAUAAACAUGACGGAAUAAACAUUACUUCAAUCUGAUAGAAUGUUAUUUGUAUAUACUGUACAGAUUGCAAGAAGAGGACAAUUGAUGAGAUGGAUACAAUGACGCAAAAAGUAUAAGUGUUAUAUUCUCUGAUUUACUGAUGCUUUCUUAUCUGUAAAUAAUUUUAUGUAUUGAACAGAAUGAUCCAAUAAUUCUGCAUACAUAUACAGGAUGUAUCACUUUAAUCACUUUAAUCGAUCAACACAAGUAUUUCAUAAACUAUACAUUAUACGAAAAAGGGUUUCAAAUAAAAUUUGUUUUGUUUCAAAGGGAGCUGAAGGUGUUUUCAGGAUCUCAAGGUAACCUUUGUUUUUUAAAUGGAACUAUACUUGUUUUCACGUGGUGAAAAUUGAAUUGAAUCGAGUUGUAUGGUAACACCGUUCGAAGCAGCUGUCAAUUUUUUAUAAAAAAAAAAAAAGGUAU